This 496-nucleotide ribosomal RNA is filed under the name uncultured bacterium. RNAcentral's name for it is "partial 16S ribosomal RNA". It matches the Rfam family "Bacterial small subunit ribosomal RNA", at positions 29 to 507 of the family's 1533-position model. The record is from RNAcentral.
AUGAACGCUGGCGGCGUGCCUAAUACAUGCCAGUCGAGCGAACGGACGAGAAGCUUGCUUCUCUGAUGUUAGCGGCGGACGGGUGAGUAACACGUGGAUAACCUACCUAUAAGACUGGGAUAACUUCGGGAAACCGGAGCUAAUACCGGAUGAUAUUUUGAACCGCAUGGUUCAAAAGUGAAAGACGGUCUUGCUGUCACUUAUAGAUGGAUCCGCGCUGCAUUAGCUAGUUGGUAAGGUAACGGCUUACCAAGGCAACGAUGCAUAGCCGACCUGAGAGGGUGAUCGGCCACACUGGAACUGAGACACGGUCCAGACUCCUACGGGAGGCAGCAGUAGGGAAUCUUCCGCAAAGGGCGAAAGCCUGACGGAGCAACGCCGCGUGAGUGAUGAAGGUCUUCGGAUCGUAAAACUCUGUUAUUAGGGAAGAACAUAUGUGUAAGUAACUGUGCACAUCUUGACGGUACCUAAUCAGAAAGCCACGGCUAACUACGUG